UUGUAAGGGCGUAUGGGGGAUGCCUAGGCUCUUGGAGGCGAAGAAGGACGUGCCAAACUGCGAAAAGCUGUGGGGAGUUGUAAGAAGCGAAGAUCCACAGAUGUCCGAAUGGGGAAACCCGGCAGGUUGAAGACCUGUCAUCUCCUUGUUAGGAGAGGCGAACGCAGGGAACUGAAACAUCUAAGUACCUGUAGGAGAAGAAAACAAAAGUGAUUCCGUGAGUAGUGGCGAGCGAAAGCGGAGGAGCCCAAACCGAAGUUGUUUCGGCAGCUUCGGGGUAGUAGGACAGCCACAAGGCGAAGCUAGCGAAUUGAAGUGAGUUGGGAAACUCUACCGGAGAGGGUGAAAGUCCCGUAAAUGGAGCGAAGCUGAGCUGGGCUGCAUCCUGAGUAGGGCGGGGUUGGAGACGCCCCGUUUGAAACAGCCAGCACCAUCUGGUAAGGCUAAAUACUCCCAAGAGACCGAUAGUGAAGAAGUACCGUGAGGGAAAGGUGAAAAGUACCCCGAACAGGGGGGUGAAAAGAACCUGAAACCAUACGCUUACAAGCGGUCGGAGGGGCAAUUGCCCUGACGGCGUGCCUUUUGCAUAAUGAGCCUACGAGUUACCUUUCUUGGCAAGGUUAAGUACUUGAAGUACGAAGCCGAAGCGAAAGCGAGUCUGAAUAGGGCGUGAAGUCAGGGGAGGUAGACGCGAAACCUAGUGAUCUACCCUUGGUCAGGAUGAAGGUCUGGUAAAGCAGGCUGGAGGUCCGAACUAGUAGACGUUGAAAAGUCUUUGGAUGAACUGAGGGUAGGGGUGAAAGGCUAAUCAAACUGGGAAAUAGCUCGUACUCUCCGAAAUGCCUUUAGGGGCAGCGUCAAAUUAGUCUUGCUGAGGUAGAGCUACCAAUAGGACUAGGGGGCUUCACCGCCUACCAAAUCCUGAUGAACUCCGAAUGCGGCAAGAUGAUGUUUGGCAGUGAGGGCUUGGGUGCUAAGGUCCGAGUCCGAGAGGGAAAGAACCCAGAGCAUCGGCUAAGGUCUCAAAGUGUGAGUUAAGUUGAACAAAGGCGGUCUGACUGCCUUGACAGCCAGGAGGUUAGCUUGGAAGCAGCUAUUCCUUUAAAGAGUGCGUAACAGCUCACUGGUCGAGCGGUUGGGCAUCUAUAAUAAACGGGCAUCAAACUCACCACCGAAGCUGUGCCAUAGAGAUAUGGGUAGGAGAGCAUUCUGCUGGCGGCGAAGGCGAGCUGUGAGGCUUGUUGGAGUUAGUAGAAAAGCAAAUGUAGGCAUAAGUAACGAUAAUCAGAGUGAAAAACUUUGACACCGAAAGACUAAGGUUUCCUGUGGCAACGUUCAUCGUCCCAGGGUUAGUCGGGAGCUAAGGGGAAGCCGAAAGGCGUACCUGAUGCACAGCAGGUUAAUAUUCCUGCACUUGCAGUAGUGCGAAGCGAUGACGGAGUGGUGUAGUCCUUACGUACUGACGGAAAAGUGCGUAGAGUGGAGCCUUCGGGUGAAGCGAAAGGGUGUAACUGCUUCCAAGAAAAGUCGUGUAGCUACAGCUGCUGCAACCCGUACCGCAAACCGACACAGGUAGUUGAGGCGAGAAGCCUAAGGUGCUCGAGAUACACACGGCUAAGGAACUCGGCAAAUUAACCCUGUAACUUCGGGAGAAGGGGAGCCAGCGAGAGCUGGUCGCAGAGAAUAGGUCCAGGCGACUGUUUAACAAAAACACAGGGCUUUGCGAAAACGAAAGUUUAAGUAUAAGGCCUGACACCUGCCCGGUGCUGGAAGGUUAAGGGGGGGGGUUAGCUGCGAGGCGAAGCUCUGAACCGAAGCCCCAGUAAACGGCGGCCGUAACUAUAACGGUCCUAAGGUAGCGAAAUUCCUUGUCGGGUAAGUUCCGACCUGCACGAAUGGUGUAACGAUCUGGACGCUGUCUCAGCCGUGUACUCGGUGAAAUUGUAGUCUCGGUGAAGAUGCCGAGUACCCGCAACGGGACGAAAAGACCCCGUGCACCUUUACUACAACUUAGUAUUGCCUUUGGGUGCAGAAUGUGUAGGAUAGGUGGGAGACUGUGAAGCGGAGUCGCUAGGCUUCGUGGAGUCGCCGUUGAAAUACCACCCUUUUUGCACUUGAAGGCUAACCUUAUAGGGACAGUGCUAGGCGGGUAGUUUGACUGGGGUGGUCGCCUCCAAAAAGGUAUCGGAGGCUUCCUAAGGUUGGCUCAGUACGGUCGGUAAUCGUACGUAGCGUGCAAUGGCAGAAGCCAGCUUGACUGUGAGGCAAACAAGCCGAGCAGGUAGGAAACUAGGGCAUAGUGAUCCGGUGGUUCUGCGUGGAAGGGCCAUCGCUCAAAGGAUAAAAGGUACGCCGGGGAUAACAGGCUGAUCUCCCCCAAGAGCUCACAUCGACGGGGAGGUUUGGCACCUCGAUGUCGGCUCGUCACAUCCUGGGGCUGGAGAAGGUCCCAAGGGUUGGGCUGUUCGCCCAUUAAAGUGGCACGCGAGCUGGGUUCAGAACGUCGUGAGACAGUUCGGUCUCUAUCUGUUGCGGGCGUAGAAUAUUGAGGGGGGCUGACCUUAGUACGAGAGGACCGGGUCGGACGAACCGCUGGUGAAUCUGUUGUAGUGCCAACUGCACGGCAGAGUAGCUAAGUUCGGAAGAGAUAAACGCUGAAAGCAUCUAAGUGUGAAACUCGCCCCGAGAUGAGUAUUCGUUAGAGGGUCGUGGGAGAAGACCACGUAGAUAGGUAGCAGGUGUAAGCGUAGUAAUACGUUGAGCCGAGCUAUACUAAUCACCCGAGCGUU
This 2789-nucleotide ribosomal RNA is filed under the name Bacteroidia bacterium. Its description in RNAcentral is "23S ribosomal RNA". It matches the Rfam family "Bacterial large subunit ribosomal RNA". Lineage: Bacteria; Pseudomonadati; Bacteroidota; Bacteroidia. The record is from RNAcentral.